UACGAAGGGGGCGAGCGUUGUUCGGAAUCACUGGGCGUAAAGGGCGCGUAGGCGGUACUUCAAGUCAGGCGUGAAAGCCCCGGGCUCAACCUGGGAACCGCGCUUGAGACUGGGGAACUAGAGUUCGGGAGAGGAUGGUGGAAUUCCCAGUGUAGAGGUGAAAUUCGUAGAUAUUGGGAAGAACACCGAUGGCGAAGGCAGCCAUCUGGACCGACACUGACGCUGAGGCGCGAAAGCGUGGGGAGCAAACAGG
This 253-nucleotide ribosomal RNA is filed under the name uncultured bacterium. RNAcentral's name for it is "partial 16S ribosomal RNA". It matches the Rfam family "Bacterial small subunit ribosomal RNA", at positions 524 to 776 of the family's 1533-position model. The record is from RNAcentral.